Molecule: ribosomal RNA, 783 nt
Filed under: uncultured bacterium
Lineage: Bacteria
Description: bacterial SSU rRNA
Rfam family: Bacterial small subunit ribosomal RNA
Source: RNAcentral
AGAGUUUGAUCAUGGCUCAGGACGAACGCUGGCGGCGUGCUUAACACAUGCAAGUCGAACGGUAAGGCCCUUCGGGGUACACGAGUGGCGAACGGGUGAGUAACACGUGGGUAAUCUGCCCUGCACAUCGGGAUAAGCCUGGGAAACUGGGUCUAAUACCGAAUAGGACCACAGGACACAUGUCCUGUGGUGGAAAGCUUUUGCGGUGUGGGAUGGGCCCGCGGCCUAUCAGCUUGUUGGUGGGGUGAUGGCCUACCAAGGCGACGACGGGUAGCCGGCCUGAGAGGGUGUCCGGCCACACUGGGACUGAGAUACGGCCCAGACUCCUACGGGAGGCAGCAGUGGGGAAUAUUGCACAAUGGGCGAAAGCCUGAUGCAGCGACGCCGCGUGGGGGAUGACGGCCUUCGGGUUGUAAACCUCUUUCACCAUCGACGAAGGUCCGGGUUUUCUCGGGCUGACGGUAGGUGGAGAAGAAGCACCGGCCAACUACGUGCCAGCAGCCGCGGUAAUACGUAGGGUGCGAGCGUUGUCCGGAAUUACUGGGCGUAAAGAGCUCGUAGGUGGUUUGUCGCGUUGUUCGUGAAAUCUCACGGCUUAACUGUGAGCGUGCGGGCGAUACGGGCAGACUUGAGUACUGCAGGGGAGACUGGAAUUCCUGGUGUAGCGGUGGAAUGCGCAGAUAUCAGGAGGAACACCGGUGGCGAAGGCGGGUCUCUGGGCAGUAACUGACGCUGAGGAGCGAAAGCGUGGGGAGCGAACAGGAUUAGAUACCCUGGUAGUCC